GUCUCCUUGUAUAGAUAGUUAUAAGGAGUCGGACCUGCCCAGUGACUAUAUUGUUAAACGGCCGCGGUACCCUAACCGUGCAAAGGUAGCAUAAUCAUUUGCCUUUUAAAUGGAGGCUUGUAUGAAUGGUUUGACGAGAGCCAAGCUGUCUCUUUUGAAAUAGUUAAAAAUUAACUUUUAGGUGAAGAGGCCUAAAUUAAAUUGAGGGACAAGAAGACCCUGUUGAGCUUGAGUGUUGCUAAGUUUAUUUGUGUGUUAUUACGGAUAGUUUCAUUUAUGAAAUGUUAUAAUUUAGUGAUUCUUUAGUUGGGGCGACUGAGGAACAUAUAAAGCUUCUUUGGACUGUUUGUAAUUUAUUUUGUAUGUAAAUUAUUAUGAUCCAGUUUUACUGAUUAAGAGAAAAAGUUACCACAGGGAUAACAGCGUAAUCUUUCUGGAGAGAUCUUAUCGAAAGAAGGGUUUGCGACCUCGAUGUUGGACUAAGGUAUCCUAAGGGUGUAGAAGUUCUUGAGGGUUGGUCUGUUCGACCAUUAAAACCUU
Molecule: ribosomal RNA, 540 nt
Filed under: Minolia chinensis
Lineage: Eukaryota; Metazoa; Mollusca; Gastropoda; Trochida; Solariellidae
Description: partial 16S ribosomal RNA
Rfam family: Bacterial large subunit ribosomal RNA
Source: RNAcentral